ACGAAGGGGGCUAGCGUUGUUCGGAAUUACUGGGCGUAAAGCGCACGUAGGCGGACUGAUAAGUCAGGGGUGAAAUCCCGGGGCUCAACCCCGGAACUGCCUUUGAUACUGUCAGUCUAGAGUUCGAGAGAGGUGAGUGGAAUUCCGAGUGUAGAGGUGAAAUUCGUAGAUAUCUGGAGGAAUACCGGUGGCGAAGGCGGCAUCCUGGACCGGCAUUGACGCUGAGGAGCGAAAGCCAGGGGAGCAAACGGGA
RNAcentral lists this ribosomal RNA (253 nucleotides) under uncultured prokaryote. Its description in RNAcentral is "partial 16S ribosomal RNA". It matches the Rfam family "Bacterial small subunit ribosomal RNA", at positions 525 to 777 of the family's 1533-position model. The record is from RNAcentral.